AAAAAACUCUCUCCGGAGAAAGUAAACUAUACGCGAUCAAACCGAUCCCCAACACCACAAUGGAUCACUAUCACUGCAGCCCUGAUAAGCACAGCUCUGAGAGUGGCUGAGUGAGUUGGAGGCCUAAAUGGAUUGAAGGACAGACACCUG
Long non-coding RNA from Tachysurus vachellii, 150 nucleotides. RefSeq lists it as uncharacterized. The transcript is spliced from 3 exons. Lineage: Eukaryota; Metazoa; Chordata; Actinopteri; Siluriformes; Bagridae. The record is from RefSeq and is a predicted model, not a curated record.